CCAAUACGUAAUCUCCGUACAUUCAUAGCGGCCUGCGCCUCACCUUAUGAGGGAGCGACAUCUUAGGUGGGUUGCUACGGGCGACCAAGGACGAAACCUCAGAGGCCGGGGAGGGGAAGGAACCUGUGCGAAUGGCAGCUGCCAAACUUUAAAUUCUCACUUCGCCAGUAUUGAACUCAAAUCUGAAAGGAGCUUUUGGAUUUUAAAAAAGGAAUGAUGAAAAAUCUUUUCUCCAAAAAUAUUUAUACAAUUUAUGUAGCAAUCAGUUUGUGAAUUUCAGAUUUGUAAUUUACAGUUUAAAGGUAAAGGUACCCCUGCCCGUACGGGCCAGUCGUGUCCGACUCUAGGGUUGUGCGCUCAUCUCACUCUAGAGGCCAGGAGCCAGCGCUGUCCGCAGACACUUCCGGGUCACGUGGCCAGCGUGACGAAGCUGCUCCGGCGAACCGGCACCAGCGCAGCACACGGAACGCCGUUUACCUUCCCGCUAUAAAGCGGUACCUAUUUAUCUACUUGCACCCGGGGGUGCUUUCGAACUGCUAGGUGGGCAGGAGCUGGGACCGAACGACGGGAGCUCACCCCGCCGCGGGGAUUCGAACCGCCGACCAUGCGAUCGGCAAGUCCUAGGCGCUGAGGUUUUACCCACAGCGCCACCCGCGUCCCUAAUUUACAGUUUAGAGAAGGAUAAAAUAGAGGGAUUUGGGAAACGCAUUUGACAAUGUACACGGUUUCCUCGUACCCAAUAAAACUUUAAAUUCACCCAAUAAUUUAAACUUGCAGGUAUUCCAAACACAACAUGGUAUGAAACUGAAAAUGACAUCAAGUAACAGAAAGGCUUUAGAGCCAAAAUAUGAGAAUUUGUGUAAGUAUACUGCACUGUUUCAAAACGCCUAUUUUCAAAAUGUCACAAUUUUGGAUUUUACUUACCAGAACCUGGAAGUUUCAAAAGCCAAAUAGUUAAAUCAGAAACUUAGGGUUUUGAGUUAUGUCACAAUUAUUUACCUAUCUUUCAUUAAAACAAUACUCAAAAACACAAAUUUGUUUAUUGAUCAUGAACAGCCUCUCAAACACCUUGGAAUCUCAAAACAGGAUCACACGAUGCUUACAUGUUGCUUUAAAACUAUUAUAAUCUGCGCCCUCCCCCCUCUGCACAAGCAAAUUCUUCUGUUAAAAUGUUGUUGUUCACCCAACCAAGGAUGAAAUUACCACUAAAGACACAUUUUAAACUGCAAUCCUAUACGUAGCGAUUCUGAAGUCUCAUUAAGUUCAGCUGGGCUUACUCCUAGGUGAGUAUAGGAUUGCACCCAAGCAAAACAGUCCUCUACUCACACCAUGCUACAGAUAUGCCAGUGGAAGGCAUAUCCUAUGCCAUAGGUAGGCAAACUAAGGCCCGGGGGCCGGAUCUGGCCCAAUUGCCUUCUAAAUCCGGCCCACAGACGGUCCAGGAAUCAGCAUGCUUUUACAUGAGUAGAAUGUGUCCUAAAAUGCAUCUCUGGGUUAUUUGUGGGGCAUGGGAAUUCGUUCAUUCCCCCCAAAAAAUAUAGUCCGGCUCCCCACAAGGUCUGAGGGACAGUGGACUGGCCCCCUGCUGAAAAAGUUUGCUGACUCCUGUAUGCUCUUAUCAUUCUGAGGUGGGUGGGGAAGGAGGUGAGAGGGCUGCUAUUAUUUUUAUGUAAUUACUUGCACCAAUCUCAGACCUGGCAUAAUGUUCCACUGUCAAAUGGGCAUGUCUUGGAAAUGAAGAGGUGUAACUCAUCAAUCUUUAUUACGGUCCAGAGACCCAAGAAAUCAUUACAAAGCAAUACACAAUUCAUACAGCCUACCUCCAGGUUAAACAAGCAUUUUGUUUAGAAUAUAGGGAUCAUAUGUUCUUGCAACCACCGAUAAGAGGUGUAACUAUGCCCUGCUCAGGGCACACCCAUGAUUCCAUCCCAUUCUGCUUUCCCCACCGCACCUGUCCUAUUUACCAGUGUCACUUUGCCAGCACAGUAUCUCUGCCAACAUACCAGCAGAGUUCCAUCGGCUUAAGUGUCAUGCUGGAGGUGUAAUUCCAUCUGGACUGGCAAAGCAGCGCUAACAGCACUUAGCCACUUCCUAAGACCAUUCAGCCAGCAUAACUCAAAUAUAGUGCCCUUGUUUUCUUAUUUAGCUAGAUGGCAAAUAUGUCACAACAGUUUAGAAACACUAUAGUCAAUCUGAAUAGCAGCAAUUGAUAUACAAUACAGAUAGAGUGUAUUUUACUUGUCGAGCUAGUCCCAAAGCAGUCCAAAAUACCUGUCAAGAAUUUUAUUGAGGGGUACGAUAUGCAUCGCUCAAAUAAGGAAAAUAAAAGUUUAAGAUUACGUAUGUUAUCUCACCUUUCAUCAUUCUAUAUAUUAGUUGGCAUCACUGCCCACGUAUGAAUACUGAAGGUCAGAUGAGCUGGGGUGAGGGGUUACGCAGUUUGGGAAAGAUAACCUACUUUUGGGAAAAAAAUGUGAGGGAGAGCUCUUGCCUUGCACAACUCAAAACCUGUGCAUAUGGGCCAUAUGUGAUAGUAUAUGUUCAAGGUUUUUGGGAAGUGAUAUUUACAAAAUCCCAGACAUUAAAGGGCAAUCAAUCCCAUCUGACCUGGCCCUGGCCCUACUGGCAAUAGUGCAGCCAGAUGACACCAAUAUAAGGUCACCAAGACCUAAUAAUUCUUUUGCUCACAGCUGUUCAUUUGGAGUUAGCUAGUCACUGGAAAAUUUGUAAAGCAGGUGGUUGAGAAGAAUUGGAAAUCUGGGGAAGGAGGAAGUAUAAUGGAAUGGCAUACCAAUAGGUUGUGCAAUGAAAGUAGCUAGCAAAACAAGCACAAGCAUUAAGACAUGACUUUGCAAGCGAUUGGUUUUUGUAAUGGCUUUUGCAUUGUGUUAAUUUGUGGGUGAACAUAUCAGACAAAACAGCAAUUCUUCAAACAGCUCUUGUUUAUUCACAGGCCAGAACAGAACUGAACUGAAGGGUUCAGCCAGCCUGCUUAUAUAGAGCUCCACUACAACGCAACAGUAACCACUUUCUGUAACUAUCCAAUCACUGAACGUCACUUUCAAUCCCUUAUUUGCAUAUGUGGACCUGAGUGAAAACUAUCUACAGUAUCCCCCUGCUGGCCCAGGGUGAGAACUUCAGUACAUAACACAUUGGGCAUAAAAUCCUAUAAAAGUAUCACUUGUUCUGGACACCCCUGAUGGAGAAACCUAUUAGGAUAAGAUGGCUAUGAACUAUUGGAUGAGGGAUAUUGCCAAUUACUCUCUAUUUUUAGGUAUAUUAUCUUUCUAUUAUUCUAUUUUUGUAGUUGAAACAAUACAAACAUAUCCUUACAAAAACUGGUAAAGGGCUGACUGGAUAAUGUUUGGGAAAUGGCAUUACUUGAAUGUUUAACAUAAAUUGGGAGCUGAUUAAGUAUGGUAAAAAUGACCACUUAGAGGCUGUUUGGAUAUCAUUCUUAACUUCUCAAAACUGGAAUAGAGAGCAAGUGCAGGCCAGAUUGUCCCAGAUUAAUUUGUGGAGGAGCUAUGCAUUUGGGUGUGGCCUGAAUAUUCCCUGUAGUUUAUUACAAUAGACACAUGAAGACAUGCAAUGAUGAGUGAAUAAUUCUUUUGUUGUUGUUGUUCAGAUAUUUGACAAUAUGUACUCGACUGAUUCUGUGUUACAGUCUGAAAAAUCUUUAAUAAAAUUAUUGUUUUCAGAAACCUGGGGCUUUAACUUGGAUGAAGGCAGGAUGAAAAAUAAAAUAAAAUAAGUAAAUAAAAGUUUGCUCAAUGUAAUCUCCUCCCAAAUAAGAGUGCAAGAGACUGCAGCCCUAACAGUCAUGGGCAAGUAUGCAAUUUUUGUUGAUUUAUGGAGUAUAAACUGCGCUAAGUUUAGCUUAUGAAAUGAGAGGAGCCUCUAACCUGUCUGGAAGUCAGACCCUCUUUUCUGGUAACAUGUUUUCCUAAUGCUAAAUGUGUAGGGAUUUGUAGUCAGGAUUCUGGCAUGCUCAGAGCAUAAUUCUUUGAGUUCUGCUGAGCCCCUCUCAAAUCAAGCCCUGAAUUUGACCAUUAAAGGAGAGGUGCCUUGUACAACGCUCCCUAAGGAUCUAUCCGAAUCAUAAAGCCAGAGAGAGAGAGAGUCGGACGGAAAGAUGUUCUAUUUCAGCUUGCUUGUCUACCAUGCAUGAAUGGCUUCACAGUUCUCUUGUGGAGGGUGGAGAUGCCAACUCUGGGGCGGAUUUUCAAGGCCUCACAGUACCAAGGUGUGUCAGCCAGAGCUAGGCCAGAGGAGAACGGGUACAAAGUUCACAAUCAUCUGAGCGAUGAUAAAUAGUAAUUAAGAUUACACCAUUCCGUGUUUCAAAAGGACAGAGAUGUUAGAUAAUGCUUGGCAGGCUGACAGGUCAGAGACAGUACAUGAGUAAUGAAGAGGCUCACGAAACAAAGCCAAGCAGGAACCAAUGAAAGCUGAUAUUAGUCACAUGAAAACAGGUGCACUGUGAGAAUGCAGCCUGGUCAACGCAUGUUGUAUAAUUAGAGUGCAGUGUACUACCUCAGGCUGCAAGGGUGCAGAAUUUUAAUGCACCCACCCCAAUAAAAUACCGCCUGCAAGUUAAAAAAAACCCCCAGUAACUGCAGGGAGAAAGGUUCUAGUCUAGCCUACUCCCUCCCAUGCUUCACCGUAGUGGAGUAGGAGCAAGUGUAGGAUUGCCAGCUCUCAAGCAGCUCAUAUUCUGGGAACUAAACAGGGUAGUUCUGGUAGACCAGAGGGCAAAGCCUUGCAGCACUUGAAACAUCCAGAGCAUGGUCCCCAGUGCAGGGUUACUGUCUUCUAUCUGAUGAGUUGUGAACAGGUAUAUUAGUGAACAUCCCCAUCUGAAGUCAACUCUCUUGCAGGGACUGAAGGAAUGGGGAGAAACUCAGAUGGGACAACUUGUUGAGAUACAGCUUGCCCCCUUUGCUUCUACCUCCUCACAGAUUUAAUAGCUUCCAUUGGAAACCUUGAGGAGCCAUCCUGAAUUAUUAUUUUCCCCACAUCAACAAUGUAGGGUUGAAUGCUUUACCCAGAGACUUGAGUUCAGAAUAUGACUUUAUUAAAAAGACAAGGUAUCUGAGAAACCAGAACCAUUAUUUCAAUGUACAAAUCCAAAUACCUGUACAAGGUUUUGCAUUUUAGUUUAAAUCCUAAAAAUAAAACAGAUAAUAAAAGCAACGGGUGGCGGGAGAUCAGGAGCAGCCAUUAAAACCAUGUAUUUAUGCUGAAUUAAAACAAAAUAUAAACCAGGACAUUUUUUUUUUACAUCUUGGCAAUGUGCUCACUAGCAGGGCUUUGGACAGUACCAUCAUGCACACCAAAUACAACUUUGCUGGAAUUUUUAAAUAGCUUAUUCAAAAAAACAACCUCCCCAAAGUCAACCCCUUGAAUGAAAGAAGAUCCGACUAGUUAUGAUGUUUUGCUGUUUAGAUUUAUUUCUUUAGAGGGAAAAUGCAGUGUCCCUAUUUAAAAAAAGAACUGAACUAAAAAUAAAUAAAUCACAAGUAUUACAAAACAGCUAGGUAGGUGUUCAGAGACAUUUCAAAAGCUGGCAAGACAGGUAGGGUAGGGAUAAGAGGAGAGAGAGAGAAAGAGAUUGAAAGAUGCAUCCCUAUUGACCAUAUACAACACAUUUAGAUAAUUAAAAAAUAUAAAAGGCAAGAGGCAGCAUUUCAGCAGCAAAAUGCUAAAAAGGUACGUCACAAAAGGGUAUGGGACGGCAAAGCCACAUCUCAGAGGAAAUACGGUGUGGUUGUUCUUGAGGGAAGCACACGUUCUGGGUCUGGAACUGCACAGAAGAGCUUUGGUUCCCUUGUAUUUGCACCUUCAAAUGCCAUGAUUGAGGCAAUAUUUCCACAGCGAUAGCUGUGACCAACUUCUCACCAAACUUAUAACCUUCAUGCCCCAGCUGGUGGGCUCAGCAGAUGCAGAUGAGCUUUAAGUUGUUGAUAUAGACAAACUCAUUUGUGACUUUUGCCUCAAACAGCCAGCCUGCUCCUCGGGGACUUAUGGCCCAGGUGUCCACAUCUUCUGGAUCAGACCAAACAAGGUCACAAAAAGCUCCUUUGUGUGGGAUCUCUUGGUUGUGCUCAGUGGUCUGAAUCUGGUCCAGUGUUUUUAUGCCUGGAGAUAGGCCCCCAUGUAUACAGAAGAUUUGCUCAUCUAGUAACACUUCCACCGUGAGCAUGUCAAAAACUUUGAUGUAAUAUCUCCAGGCAUUAGCGUUGCCAUAUUUGGUUUGGCAUUUGUCAUAAAACCCAUACACUUGAGUUACCUGUCUGCUCUCAUGAUUCCCACGUAAAAGUGUGAUGCAAUCAGGCCAUUUUGCUUUCAGGGCAAGAAGAUAGGCAAACGUCUCAAGGCUAUAAUAGCCUCUGUCUACAAAGUCACCCAUAAAUAUAUAUAGUUUGUGUCAGGAACCUGACCUCCAGUUCUGAACAAUUCACAUAAAUCAUAAAACUGUCCAUGUAUGUCACCACAGACUGUAACUGGUGUAGAAACUGUCUGCACAUUAGAUUCUUCUACAACAGAGAUGUCCAACAGGUCGAUCACGAUCUACUAGUCGAUCCCUGCGAGGUUUUGGUCGAUCGCUGGCCCCCUUCCCGCCCCCUCACCGUGCCCUCCAUUGUUGGAGAACGGAAGACAGAGUUUACAAACCGAGGCUGUAUUUACCCCAGUGAUCCUUCAGUGAGUUGCUGUUCCUCUCUGACCGCAAAACAAUGUAAAAAUGCCAGGUCACCCCCCUCAAAAAAGCUCAACAACUUUGACCUGAACCCCUAAAAAAAGGGGGUAGAUCACUGCCAGUUUUUAAUUCUGUGAGUAGAUCACAGUCUCUUGGAAUUUGGCCACCCCUGUUCUAGAAGAAGAUCACAGACGUAGUCACACAAGCGCUUGAGUGUUCCGGUUUGCGAACGUUUUACAGAAGCCGAACGCCCGACGUGACUUCCAUGGCUUCUGAUUGAGUGCAGGAAGCUCUUGCAGCCAAUCGGAAGCCACGCCUUGGUUUUUAAACCAUUUUGGGAGUCAAACAGAUUAAAUUCGAGAACCAAGGUACCACUGUAACUUAAACAGGACAAUUCUGUGAAGAUUAGUUAAUGCUGGUCAGCUCCACUAAAGGUUUUGAAAACUGGUGGUGAUGGCGGUUGACUCUCUCUCUCUCUCUCUCUCUCUCUCUCUCUCUCUCUCUCUCUCUCGCUCCCCCUCCCUCUGCCAACUACCUUGCCCCAAAAGAGCAACUGGCCCAGGGUCACUCAGUGAACAUAAGGACUGAGUGGAGAUUUAAACCAUGGUCUCCAAGAUCCUAGUCUGUUCUGCAAAAAAUUGCUGCUGGUGUAGAGGCUACUCAGCACUUGGUUUUGGAACAGGCUGUUUAUCAGACAUGCGGUGAUGUUUCAAAAGGUUGCCACACACCCCACUUGUUUGUUCCUCCCAAUUUGUUUCUGGAGACGCAAGUGUAGUCACCAGAAAGCCUUGGGAACUCUGAAGUUCCAGAGAAGGCUCUUCUGGAACUUCAAUCCAGAUUUCAUUUUUCUGUAUGUACAAAUACUGAAGACAUAUCAAGAGAAGAGUGAGAGAGACAUCCUAAAAUAGCCACUAAAAGCACAUUAAAUGAUAGCUAGCUUGCGAUAAGUCAUCUCACGCAGGCACCCCCAAUUAAUGACCUGGUAGCAGGAGAUAGAAUGACCAGCUCUUGCCACAUUCCAUAUGCAGCGCUUGCAGAAUUCAUUUGGAAGCUGUUGCAUCACGAGAUCUAUUUAUCAGGGUAAUUUGAUGCUGGGUUUUAGAAAGAGAGAGAGAGGGAGAGGAAGCCAGUUGCCUGAACAGGUGUGUUGGAUAAAACAGUCCCUGCAUAAACAUGGGCGUGACCUGCUCAAUAAAGCUGCUAACUGGAUUACAGUGGCACAGAAUACACUGCUU
This is a non-coding RNA of Podarcis lilfordi (Lilford's wall lizard), 7935 nucleotides long. The record is from the annotation of a GenBank genome assembly. NCBI's taxonomy places the organism in Eukaryota, Metazoa, Chordata, Lepidosauria, Squamata, Lacertidae.